This 426-nucleotide ribosomal RNA is filed under the name uncultured bacterium. RNAcentral describes it as "partial 16S ribosomal RNA". It matches the Rfam family "Bacterial small subunit ribosomal RNA", at positions 355 to 774 of the family's 1533-position model. The record is from RNAcentral.
UGGGGAAUAUUGCACAAUGGGCGCAAGCCUGAUGCAGCCAUGCCGCGUGUAUGAAGAAGGCCUUCGGGUUGUAAAGUACUUUCAGCGGGGAGGAAGGCGAUAAGGUUAAUAACCUUGUCGAUUGACGUUACCCGCAGAAGAAGCACCGGCUAACUCCGUGCCAGCAGCCGCGGUAAUACGGAGGGUGCAAGCGUUAAUCGGAAUACUGGGCGUAAAGCGCACGCAGGCGGUCUGUCAAGUCGGAUGUGAAAUCCCCGGGCUCAACCUGGGAACUGCAUUCGAAACUGGCAGGCUAGAGUCUUGUAGAGGGGGGUAGAAUUCCAGGUGUAGCGGUGAAAUGCGUAGAGAUCUGGAGGAAUACCGGUGGCGAAGGCGGCCCCCUGGACAAAGACUGACGCUCAGGUGCGAAAGCGUGGGGAGCAAACA